RNAcentral lists this ribosomal RNA (492 nucleotides) under uncultured bacterium. RNAcentral describes it as "partial 16S ribosomal RNA". It matches the Rfam family "Bacterial small subunit ribosomal RNA", at positions 29 to 507 of the family's 1533-position model. The record is from RNAcentral.
AGUGAACGCUGGCGGUAGGCCUAACACAUGCAAGUCGAACGGCAGCACAGUAAGAGCUUGCUCUUACGGGUGGCGGGUGGCGGACGGGUGAGGAAUACAUCGGAAUCUACUUUUUCGUGGGGGAUAACGUAGGGAAACUUACGCUAAUACCGCAUACUACCUACGGGUGAAAGCAGGGGAUCUUCGGACCUUGCGCGAUUGAAUGAGCCGAUGUCGGAUUAGCUAGUUGGCGGGGUAAAGGCCCACCAAGGCGACGAUCCGUAGCUGGUCUGAGAGGAUGAUCAGCCACACUGGAACUGAGACACGGUCCAGACUCCUACGGGAGGCAGCAGUGGGGAAUAUUGGACAAUGGGCGCAAGCCUGAUCCAGCCAUACCGCGUGGGUGAAGAAGGCCUUCGGGUUGUAAAGCCCUUUUGUUGGGAAAGAAAAGCAGCAGGUUAAUCCCCCGCUGUUCUGACGGUACCCAAAGAAUAAGCACCGGCUAACUUCGUG